RNAcentral lists this ribosomal RNA (504 nucleotides) under uncultured soil bacterium. Its description in RNAcentral is "bacterial SSU rRNA". It matches the Rfam family "Bacterial small subunit ribosomal RNA", at positions 8 to 490 of the family's 1533-position model. The record is from RNAcentral.
AGAGUUUGAUCCUGGCUCAGAAUCAACGCUGGCGGCGUGCCUCAGACAUGCAAGUCGAACGAGAAAGUUCCCUUCGGGGGGCGAGUAAAGUGGCGCACGGGUGAGUAACACGUAGGUAAUCUACCUUCGGGUGGGGAAUAACGCAGGGAAACUUGCGCUAACACCGCAUAAUGCAGCGGCACCACAUGGUGACAGUUGUUAAAGCGGGGGAUUUUAGGACCUCGCGCCUGAAGAGGAGCCUGCGGCAGAUUAGCUAGUUGGUAGGGUAACGGCUUCCCAAGGCGACGAUCUGUAACCGUCCUGAGAGGGCGGACGGUCACACUGACACUGACAUACGGGUCAGACUCCUACGGGAGGCAGCAGUCGGGAAUUUUGGGCAAUGGGCGAAAGCCUGACCCAGCAACGCCGCGUGAAGGAUGAAAUCCCUCGGGAUGUAAACUUCGCAAGAAUGGGAAGAAUGAGUAGGGGCUAGUACUCCCUAUGAUGACGUACCAUUGAAGUCCA